RNAcentral lists this ribosomal RNA (1322 nucleotides) under Parasarpa dudu (white commodore). RNAcentral's name for it is "16S ribosomal RNA". Lineage: Eukaryota; Metazoa; Arthropoda; Insecta; Lepidoptera; Nymphalidae. The record is from RNAcentral.
GGGGUAAAAUUAAUAAAAUAUAAAUAAUAAAAAAAUUUUUAAUAUUGGGGGGUAUUAAAGUAUUUUUUUUAAAAAAAAUAAUUAAUUUUAUAGUAAAUUAGUAUUGAAAAAGAAAUUUGAAAUAUGUGAAAAUAAAUUAUUUAAAAAGUAAUUUUUAUUUAAUGUAUCUUGUGUAUCAGAGUUUAUUAAAAAAUAUAUUUUUUAGUGAAUAAUCUCGAAUUUAAAAGAGUUAAUUAAUUAUAAAAGUUAAUGUGGAAAAAUUAUUUUAAAUAAUUAAUUUGAAAUGAAAUGUUAAUCGUUUUUAAAUAUAUCUAGUUAUUUUAGAAAAAAAUUUAAUUUUAAAUUUAAAAAAUUUUAUUUAUAAUUAUAAUUAUAAAUAAAAUUUUUAAAAUUAAAUAUAUUAAGGGAUAAUCUUUAAUAUAAAAAUUUAUAAUAAAUUAAAGUUAAAAUAAAAAUUUUAAAAUUUAUAUUGUUUAAAAAUUAUAAUUUAUUAUAAAAAAUUUUAUUUAUAAUAAAAUUUAAUUAAAAGUUUAAUUUUUUAUAAAAUAAUAAUAAAAAUAAAAAAAAAUUAAAAAUAAUGAUAAAAUUAGUAUAUUAUUUAAAAAUAUAAUUUAAUUGAUUAAAAUUAAAUUAAAGGAAUUCGGCAAAUUUUUAUAUUCACUUGUUUAUCAAAAACAUGUCUUUUAGUUAAUAAUUUAAAGUCUAAUCUGCCCACUGAUAAUAUAUUAAAGGGCUGCAGUAUAUUGACUGUACAAAGGUAGCAUAAUCAAUAGUCUUUUAAUUGAAGACUUGUAUGAAAGAUUUGAUGAAAUAUAAACUGUCUCUGAUUUAUUAAUAAAAUUUAAUUUUUUAGUUAAAAAGCUAAAAUAAAUUUAAAAGACGAGAAGACCCUAUAGAGUUUUAUAUUAAAUAAAUUUAAUGUUAUUUAUACAUAUAAAAAUUAAGAAUAAAUUUAAUAUUUUAUUGGGGUGAUUGAAAAAUUAAUAUAACUUUUUUUUUAAAAAAAUACAUAAAUAAUUGAAUAAUUGAUCCAUAUUUUAUGAUUAAAAGAAAAAAUUACCUUAGGGAUAACAGCGUAAUAUUUUUUUUUAGUACAAAUAAAAAAAAAAGUUUGCGACCUCGAUGUUGGAUUAAGAUAAAAUUUAAAUGCAAAAGUUUAAAAUUUUGAUCUGUUCGAUCAUUAAAAUCUUACAUGAUCUGAGUUCAAACCGGUGUAAGCCAGGUUGGUUUCUAUCUUUAGAAAAAAAAAAUGUUUUAGUACGAAAGGAUCAAAUAUUUUUAAUAAUUAAAAUUUAAUGAAUAUUAAUAAUUAUUAAUUAUAU